UACGUAGGGUGCAAGCGUUGUCCGGAAUCAUUGGGCGUAAAGAGCUCGUAGGCGGUCCGUCACGUCCGCUGUGAAAACCCAGGGCUCAACCCUGGGCUUGCAGUGGAUACGGGCAGACUAGAGGUAGGUAGGGGAGAAUGGAAUUCCCGGUGUAGCGGUGAAAUGCGCAGAUAUCGGGAGGAACACCGGUGGCGAAGGCGGUUCUCUGGGCCUUACCUGACGCUGAGGAGCGAAAGCGUGGGGAGCGAACAGG
Molecule: ribosomal RNA, 253 nt
Filed under: uncultured bacterium
Lineage: Bacteria
Description: partial 16S ribosomal RNA
Rfam family: Bacterial small subunit ribosomal RNA
Source: RNAcentral